RNAcentral lists this ribosomal RNA (450 nucleotides) under uncultured bacterium. RNAcentral describes it as "partial 16S ribosomal RNA". It matches the Rfam family "Bacterial small subunit ribosomal RNA", at positions 338 to 795 of the family's 1533-position model. The record is from RNAcentral.
CCUACGGGUGGCUGCAGUGGGGAAUCUUGCGCAAUGGGCGAAAGCCUGACGCAGCGACGCCGCGUGCGGGAAGAAGGCCUUAGGGUUGUAAACCGCUUUCAGGAGGGACGAAGCCACUCGGGUGAAUAGCCCAGAGGGUGACGGUACCUCCAGAAGAAGCCCCGGCUAACUACGUGCCAGCAGCCGCGGUAAUACGUAGGGGGCAAGCGUUGUCCGGAUUAGUUGGGCGUAGAGAGCGUAUAGGCGGCGAGAAAACUGGAGGCUCAACCUUCAGACGUCGACCGAAACCCCCUGGCUAGAGUCCGGGAGAGGAGAGUGGAAUUCCUGGUGUAGCGGUGGAAUGCGCAGAUAUCAGGAAGAACACCCGUGGCGAAAGCGGCUCUCUGGAACGGUACUGACGCUGAGACGCGAAAGCGUGGGGAGCGAACAGGAUUAGAUACCCCAGUAGUC